RNAcentral lists this ribosomal RNA (253 nucleotides) under uncultured bacterium. RNAcentral's name for it is "partial 16S ribosomal RNA". It matches the Rfam family "Bacterial small subunit ribosomal RNA", at positions 524 to 776 of the family's 1533-position model. The record is from RNAcentral.
AACGUAGGUGGCGAGCGUUAUCCGGAUUUACUGGGCGUAAAGCGUGUGCAGGCGGGGGGAUAAGUGGUGUAUGAAAUCUCUGGGCUUAACUCGGAGGGGUUAUGCCAGACUGUCACUCUAGAGUGCGAGAGAGGAACGUGGAAUUCCGGGUGUAGUGGUGAAAUGCGUAGAGAUCCGGAGGAACCCCAGAGGCGAAGGCGGCGUUCUGGACCGACAUUGACGCUGAGGAGCGAAAGCCAGGGGAGCAAACGGG